Molecule: ribosomal RNA, 437 nt
Filed under: uncultured bacterium
Lineage: Bacteria
Description: partial 16S ribosomal RNA
Rfam family: Bacterial small subunit ribosomal RNA
Source: RNAcentral
GAUGAACGCUAGCGGCAUGCUUAACACAUGCAAGUCGGACGGGAAGUGGUGUUUCCAGUGGCGGACGGGAGAGUCAAGCGUAAGAACAUGCCCUUGGUAGGGGGACCACAACUGGGAACGAUCGCUAAUAACCUGUAGCUAGUGGAGCAAAGGAAGGGAUCCGCCCGAGGAGGGGCUGGCGUCUGAUUAGCUAGUUGGUGAGGCAAUAGCUUACUAAGCCGAUGAUUAGUAGCUGGUCUGAGCUGAUGAUCAGCCACACUGGGACGGAGACACGGCGCAGACUCCGAGGGGAAGCAGCAGGGAAGAAUGUUCCACGAUGGGAAGAAGGCUGAAGGAGCGAUGCGUGGGGGAGGUAGAAGGCCGACGGGUCAUGAGCUUUUGUUCGCAGAGAAGAAGCAGUGACGGUAACUGAGGAAGAAGCAUCGGCUAACUCUGUG